UGGGGAAUAUUGCACAAUGGAGGGAACUCUGAUGCAGCGACGCCGCGUGAACGAAGAAGGCUUUCGAGUCGUAAAGUUCUUUUAUAUGGGAAGAUAAUGACGGUACCAUAAGAAGAAGCCCCGGCUAACUACGUGCCAGCAGCCGCGGUAAUACGUAGGGGGCUAGCGUUGUCCGGAAUCACUGGGCGUAAAGGGUUCGCAGGCGGAAAUGCAAGUCAGGUGUAAAAGGCAGUAGCUUAACGACUGUAAGCAUUUGAAACUGCAUAUCUUGAGAAGAGUAGAGGUAAGUGGAAUUUUUAGUGUAGCGGUGAAAUGCGUAGAUAUUAAAAAGAAUACCGGUGGCGAAGGCGACUUACUGGGCUCAUUCUGACGCUGAGGAACGAAAGCGUGGGUAGCAAACAGG
RNAcentral lists this ribosomal RNA (403 nucleotides) under bacterium. RNAcentral's name for it is "partial 16S ribosomal RNA". It matches the Rfam family "Bacterial small subunit ribosomal RNA", at positions 355 to 776 of the family's 1533-position model. The record is from RNAcentral.